GAACGGAGCACCCCUGAAGGAGUUUUCGGACAACGGAAGGGAAUGCUUAGUGGCGGACUGGUGAGUAACGCGUGAGGAACCUGCCUUUCGGAGGGGGACAACAGUUGGAAACGACUGCUAAUACCGCAUGACGUAUCGGGAUCGCAUGGUCUUGAUACCAAAGAUUUUAUCGCCGAAAGAUGGCCUCGCGUCUGAUUAGCUAGUUGGUGGGGUAACGGCCUACCAAGGCGACGAUCAGUAGCCGGACUGAGAGGUUGGCCGGCCACAUUGGGACUGAGAUACGGCCCAGACUCCUACGGGAGGCAGCAGUGGGGAAUAUUGGGCAAUGGACGCAAGUCUGACCCAGCAACGCCGCGUGAAGGAAGAAGGCUUUCGGGUUGUAAACUUCUUUUAAGGGGGAAGAGCAGAAGACGGUACCCCUUGAAUAAGCCACGGCUAACUACGUGCCAGCAGCCGCGGUAAUACGUAGGUGGCAAGCGUUGUCCGGAUUUACUGGGUGU
This 500-nucleotide ribosomal RNA is filed under the name uncultured bacterium. Its description in RNAcentral is "bacterial SSU rRNA". It matches the Rfam family "Bacterial small subunit ribosomal RNA", at positions 64 to 561 of the family's 1533-position model. The record is from RNAcentral.